AUUGAACGCUGGCGGCAUGCCUUACACAUGCAAGUCGAACGGUAACAGGUCUUCGGAUGCUGACGAGUGGCGAACGGGUGAGUAAUACAUCGGAACGUGCCUAGUAGUGGGGGAUAACUACUCGAAAGAGUGGCUAAUACCGCAUGAGAUCUACGGAUGAAAGCAGGGGAUCGCAAGACCUUGUGCUACUAGAGCGGCCGAUGUCAGAUUAGGUAGUUGGUGGGGUAAAGGCUCACCAAACCAACGAUCUGUAGCUGGUCUGAGAGGACGACCAGCCACACUGGGACUGAGACACGGCCCAGACUCCUACGGGAGGCAGCAGUGGGGAAUUGUGGACAAUGGGAGCAAGCCUGAUCCAGCAAUGCCGCGUGCAGGAAGAAGGCCUUCGGGUUGUAAACUGCUUUUGUACGGAACGAAACGGUCUGGGUUAAUACCUCGGGCUAAUGACGGUACCGUAAGAAUAAGCACCGGCUAACUACGUGCCAGCCGCCGCAGUAA
RNAcentral lists this ribosomal RNA (498 nucleotides) under uncultured bacterium. RNAcentral's name for it is "partial 16S ribosomal RNA". It matches the Rfam family "Bacterial small subunit ribosomal RNA", at positions 30 to 523 of the family's 1533-position model. The record is from RNAcentral.